GAUGAACGCUGGCGGCGUGCCUAACACAUGCAAGUCGAACGAAGCACCUUACCUGAUUCUUCGGAUGAAGGUCUGGUGACUGAGUGGCGGACGGGUGAGUAACGCGUGGGUAACCUGCCCUGUACAGGGGGAUAACAGUUGGAAACGGCUGCUAAUACCGCAUAAGCGCACGAGAGGACAUCCUCUUGUGUGAAAAACUCCGGUGGUACAGGAUGGGCCCGCGUCUGAUUAGCUGGUUGGCAGGGUAACGGCCUACCAAGGCGACGAUCAGUAGCCGGUCUGAGAGGAUGAACGGCCACAUUGGAACUGAGACACGGUCCAAACUCCUACGGGAGGCAGCAGUGGGGAAUAUUGCACAAUGGGGGAAACCCUGAUGCAGCAACGCCGCGUGAGUGAAGAAGUAUUUCGGUAUGUAAAGCUCUAUCAGCAGGGAAGAUAAUGACGGUACCUGACUAAGAAGCUCCGGCUAAAUACGUGCCAGCAGCCGCGGUAAUACGUAUGGAGCAAGCGUUAUCCGGAUUUACUGGGUGUAAAGGGUGCGUAGGUGGCAGUGCAAGUCAGAUGUGAAAGGCCGGGGCUCAACCCCGGAGCUGCAUUUGAAACUGCAUAGCUAGAGUACAGGAGAGGCAGGCGGAAUUCCUAGUGUAGCGGUGAAAUGCGUAGAUAUUAGGAGGAACACCAGUGGCGAAGGCGGCCUGCUGGACUGUUACUGACACUGAGGCACGA
Molecule: ribosomal RNA, 726 nt
Filed under: uncultured Lachnospiraceae bacterium
Lineage: Bacteria; Bacillati; Bacillota; Clostridia; Lachnospirales; Lachnospiraceae
Description: bacterial SSU rRNA
Rfam family: Bacterial small subunit ribosomal RNA
Source: RNAcentral